CCUACGGGAGGCAGCAGUGAGGAAUAUUGGUCAAUGGGCGCGAGCCUGAACCAGCCAAGUAGCGUGAAGGAUGACUGCCCUACGGGUUGUAAACUUCUUUUAUAAAGGAAUAAAGUGAGGCACGUGUGCCUUUUUGUAUGUACUUUAUGAAUAAGGAUCGGCUAACUACGUUCCAGCAGCCGCGGUAAUACGGAGGAUCCGAGCGUUAUCCGGAUUUAUUGGGUUGAAAGGGAGCGUAGAUGGGUUGUUAAGUCAGUGGUAAAAUUUCGGGGCUCAACCCCGUCGUGCCGUUGAAACUGGCGUUCUUGAGUGAGCGAGAAGUAUGCGGAAUGCGUGGUGUAGCGGUGAAAUGCAUAGAUAUCACGCAGAACUCCGAUUGCGAAGGCAGCAUACCGGCGCUCAACUGACGCUCAUGCACGAAAGCGUGGGUAUCGAACAGGAUUAGAUACCCGGGUAGUC
This 459-nucleotide ribosomal RNA is filed under the name uncultured bacterium. Its description in RNAcentral is "partial 16S ribosomal RNA". It matches the Rfam family "Bacterial small subunit ribosomal RNA", at positions 338 to 795 of the family's 1533-position model. The record is from RNAcentral.